UAAACUGAAGAGUUUGAUCAUGGCUCAGAUUGAACGCUGGCGGCAGGCUUAACACAUGCAAGUCGAGCGGUAGAAAGUAGCUUGCUACUUUUGAGAGCGGCGGACGGGUGAGUAAUGCGUGGGAAUCUACCUGGUAGUGGGGGACAACAGUUGGAAACGACUGCUAAUACCGCAUACGCCCUACGGGGGAAAGCGGGGGAUCUUCGGACCUCGUGCUAUCAGAUGAGCCCGCGUGAGAUUAGCUUGUUGGUGGGGUAAUGGCCUACCAAGGCGACGAUCUCUAGCUGGUCUGAGAGGAUGAUCAGCCACACUGGGACUGAGACACGGCCCAGACUCCUACGGGAGGCAGCAGUGGGGAAUAUUGGACAAUGGGCGCAAGC
RNAcentral lists this ribosomal RNA (380 nucleotides) under Thalassobium sp. RNAcentral's name for it is "bacterial SSU rRNA". It matches the Rfam family "Bacterial small subunit ribosomal RNA", at positions 1 to 382 of the family's 1533-position model. Lineage: Bacteria; Pseudomonadati; Pseudomonadota; Alphaproteobacteria; Rhodobacterales; Paracoccaceae. The record is from RNAcentral.